GUCCGGACCAGGAAAAACAUUGCACAAAUGGGCGGACGUUGUGUUCCACACUGUGCAAGAUUCUUUGGAGGGUUUCAGUGGAGGAGUGAUAUACUUUGGAGAAAAUACCAGUCUGGCAGCACAGGGAGAAUGGGCGGAGGGAGAGGGAGAAACCCAGACAAGAAGCUGCCGUGGUGAUCUGGGCACUGAUGAUGGCGGCUGGACCUGCCAUACAAUGGGACAUUCGAGAAACAUUUCGAGGUUGAGUGGAGAAGCAAAUGGACUCAAGAAUCCAAGAGUGGGGGCUCCAGCCUAGACAGAGCACAGGUGUCCCCUGCUCUCUGGAAGCGGAGCAUUCCUAUGAACACUUUCGAAAACCAAAGUGGCGGAAAGUGGACACAGCUUGCCGACAGAUGCACAAAAUCAAUGGAGACAAAUCACAGAUACUCAGAGACGCAGUUCAAAGCUCUGGAGGCCGGAUGCGGAGACUCGGAGUUGCUGAGGGCGGAUGAUAGCAGAAGACUGCUCGAGUCUGGCGCAUGGCUUGGGAAUGCUGUGCUCAGGAUGUGCUUCUAUCGUCUGGCAGAAUGUGAAGGACGCUCUGUAAUAACCCCUGAUAACACUGGAUCCCUUCUCCUUGGAACCACAGUCCCCUCCUAACUGAUGUUACAGGAUGAAGAAACACCCAAGGAACUCUGCCUUGGGAGGACGAAAUAAUACGACCUGGGAUCACCUUUCCCUUUGAAUCUCAAAAUGUCCUCUUCUGUCUAUAAAGGAUGCUUCACCACUUCGCAAAUGGUAAUAAAUGGUGCAAGAAUGAAAAAAAAAAUCUUUGACCUGGGCUGAUAGGACCAAGAAAUGUGAAACAUACCCAAGGGAAACUCUGACCCACUUAGGCUUCUACCAGAAAAAAAAUUGCCCCAAAUCCUCCAAAACCACCCCCUCCCCCAGCAAAUAAACAAAAAACCCCAGGAUUUCAUAGUUACUUCCUGUCCUAUUUUAAACAGGGCCUUAAAAAGACAAGUAAGAGAUAAAUUUAGCAAGGUUUACAAGUCAGAAGGACCCAUUAAGGAAGUGCACAAAAGGCCAUGUGAGGUUCUGCUAUGGAUAUUUGCAUCAACAACAACAACAACAACAGGGAAGUGGCCUUGAGUCCUGGGUCAGGACUCUCCCCCAGGGUUGGUAUAUAAGCCCCUCCCCCAGCAGGAGGCGGCACCAGACCUCCCUCACCUCCCGAGUCUCCCUCCUCCCCUCUCCCGAGUCCUCUCUGCCGACACCAUGGGGUGCUGUGGCUGCGGAAGUUGCGGCGGCUGCGGCGG
Molecule: long non-coding RNA, 1298 nt
Filed under: Lynx canadensis (Canada lynx)
Lineage: Eukaryota; Metazoa; Chordata; Mammalia; Carnivora; Felidae
Description: lncRNA (ENSLCNG00005009476.1)
Source: RNAcentral